CACGGAGUUAGCCGGUGCUUAUUCAUAAAGUACCUUCAGCUACUUACACGUAAGUAGGUUUAUUCCCUUAUAAAAGCAGUUUACAACCCAUAGGGCAGUCAUCCUGCACGCGGCAUGGCUGGUUCAGGCUUCCGCCCAUUGACCAAUAUUCCUCACUGCUGCCUCCCGUAGGAGUCUGGUCCGUGUCUCAGUACCAGUGUGGGGGACCAUCCUCUCAGACCCCCUACCAUCGUUGCCAUGGUAAGCCGUUACCCUACCAUCUAGCCAAUGGGACGCAUGCCCAUCCUUUUCCGUAACCUUUAACUCCACAACCAUGCGAUCAUAAAGUACCAUGGGGUAUUAAUCCGAAUUUCUUCGGGCUAUCCCCCAGAAAAGGGUAGGUUGCAUACGCGUUACUCACCCGUGCGCCGGUCGCCACCAUGUAAACAAGUUUACAUUAUGCUGCCCCUCGACUUGCAUGUGUUAGGCCUGCCGCUAGCGUUCAUCCUGAGCCAGGAUCAAACUC
RNAcentral lists this ribosomal RNA (505 nucleotides) under uncultured Bacteroidota bacterium. RNAcentral's name for it is "uncultured Bacteroidetes bacterium partial 16S ribosomal RNA". The record is from RNAcentral. Lineage: Bacteria; Pseudomonadati; Bacteroidota.